This is a long non-coding RNA of Falco peregrinus (peregrine falcon), 404 nucleotides long. RefSeq lists it as uncharacterized. Lineage: Eukaryota; Metazoa; Chordata; Aves; Falconiformes; Falconidae. The record is from RefSeq and is a predicted model, not a curated record. The transcript is spliced from 2 exons.
AGGUAUGGGAGACAUAAGGCAAACAUCAAUAAGGUGGUUAAAGAUAAUUAUAAUAAAUCCUGUAAUACUUUUGAGUCAUGGCCCAAAGUUUCCCAGCCGUGAGAAGAGACCAAAGGCAUCCCGCCCCUGGCUCUGUUGCAGAUCUUUGUUUUAAGGCUUUUGAGUUUUGUAUACUUUUGUAAAUUAAUUCACAGUGGUCACUCAGAUUCACGUAACACAUCCUAUCAAAGUCUUCACACUCUUGUCCCUUGACAUAUGAUGGACAGAAUCAACAUCUGUUAAUAAGCCAGAAAAAAAAAGAACAGUAUUUGUAGUAUUGCUUUGUUUAGCAAGCUAGCAGCCUAAUUUACUAAGCAAGUUAAGAGCGUGUACUAUUCUUACAGAAGAGAUUAGAGAAGCAAAAA